RNAcentral lists this long non-coding RNA (3309 nucleotides) under Brassica napus (rape). Its description in RNAcentral is "long non-coding RNA (BNAP_LNC014847)". Lineage: Eukaryota; Viridiplantae; Streptophyta; Magnoliopsida; Brassicales; Brassicaceae. The record is from RNAcentral.
CUUGGGAUUGGCUGGGUUGUCAAACUGUUGGAGCAUGUAUGAGUCAGGAGUGUUCUUCAAGAUCUCUUCAGCCUUCUGAAUAGCUCCAGUCAUACCCUUUGCAGGUUCAGUCAACACAAGCUCAGCUCCAAACGCCCUCAAAAGAACCCUUCUUUCCAAACUCAUGGACGCUGGCAUAGUUAAAAUAAGCUUAUACCCUUUUGAAGCAGCAAUAAACGCAAGUCCAAUCCCUGUGUUUCCACUUGUAGAUUCCACAAGAACACUCUAGCAAAUUUGCAGCAACCAAAAAUAAAUAAAUAAAUAAAUCAGAGAACUUACUUAUAACACCACCAAGAAUAAUGAAUUGAGUUUUUUUUCACAAUACCUUUCCAGGUGUGAUAAGUCCUUUUUCCUCAGCAUCUGUAAUCAUACUAUACCCAAUCCUGAAACCACAAAAGCAACAGAAGCUCAGAAUAAACAUAUGUGAAGAUACUACCAAAUGGGUUACACAACAAACCUAUCCUUGACACUGCAACAAGGCUCCAUGAUCUCAAGCUUAGCAGCAACACUUGCAACACAACCUUUAACUAUAUUGUUCAAGUACACCAUUGGAGUUUUCCCAAUAAGCUGAAUCAAUUCAUAGGGCAUUGAGAGAGGCAAACAAACAAAGAUUAGACAAAGAAGUCAAAGUCACACACUUUAUGCUCAAAGUAAGAAACUUUAUCACCAAUCUAUAACCUGAGCGGCGUUCUCGGCGAUAUUGAGACCUUCAACCCCAGGCUUGACGGACACAGCCUUGCACACAACACGGCUACUACACCUCUGGCUCUUGAGGGAGAGAGGAGCCGGGAGAACAUCGAAAGCAGCCGCCUUUCUGGAGGAUAAGGAGAGAGAAGAUAGCUCAGGGGAGUAUUUGAGAGGACGGUGGCGAGAAGUCAACGGAUUAAGGAGAAAAGCAGAGGAAGAUGUCGCAGCAGCCAUGAUCGAUACAGAGAGAGAGAGAGAGAGAGAGAGAGAGAGAUGCUUCCUUCUUCCUCCUUUGUGGUUGGUUACAACUUACAAGAGACACUGAUUAGAUCCUACUGUUAGCUCCUAAACGACGUCGCUUGAUUCUCCCUUAUGGUUAAAAACGUAAAAAAAAAAAAACGCAGAGAGGGUCAGAGCUUCAUCAUCUUCGCAGUUCAAGUAACCAAACUGAAUAGAUGUUAUGAAGUGUUUGUAAGAAACGUAUAUGUGAGAGAUGAAGUUGCGUCCCUUCUCGUCCCAUUCAGUGUCAGCUGUCUCCUCACCAUCAGAGUCGUAUGGCUCGUCAUAUGUCGCUCUUGUUCCCACUGAUCCUGCUCUUAUCAUUUCUCUAGAAGAAGCAGAUACCAUAGUUUCGAAGGAAUAGAAAAUGGCAUACCAAGAAAGGUCAUAUUUAUAAGAUACUCAAAAGACUCGUCAUGCAUUUGAAGUUAUGGGGUUCAAUGGGAGCAAGCUACACAAGUUUCAAGAUACAUUAACUAUACAGUACAACGAAUACGAACAGUUUCAGAUUUUUGAAAAUUCAUAAUUAUAUCAAGGGACAGUUAUGGCUUUUGUAUUUAUUAAUAAAACACCAACUGCGUUGCACAUUUCACAUUGCAAAUAUACAGUAGACGAAGAGAUUUUGUUUGCAGAGACGUCUUUAAUGAGAAACUAGAAAGAAACGAAAGAAGAGGUUCCUUGUUGGUCAAGAAAUUACAGAGGAGAGAUUCAAAGCUCAGGCUGCAUAUUCUCGCACUCAUCUCGGAUAGACUGAAAGAGCAGGGUCGAGAGGUAACGUUCCCCAAAGCUCGGGAACACAACCUGGAAACAAAGAUUGAUCCAUCAACACACAGAUCAUACUUCUGCCAAACAUGUGAAUCUAUUACUCACUAUUUUAAUCAAGCCUAGCUAAAAAGAUUAAGUAAAUAACUCUAGAACUAAUUUAAUUAUUCGGUGGAUUGUCACAGAUGCAGGACAAGGGAAUCGUUCUGACUAAAAGCUAAUAAAUCAAUUCCAAUCACCAAGAGACGAUGAAAAGCAUAGAUGAGAGUUUGAGGACUUACAGCUAUGAGUUUUCCGGCAUUUUCAGGUCUCUUUGCCACCUGGAUUGCAGCAGCAGCAGCAGCUCCAGAAGAUAUACCAACCUACACAAAGUCAUAAUAGUUCAAUAAUCAUCACACAUUUCUCAUACCAUUCAAUUCAUUUCUCCUUUAAAGACUGUUCCCACUCAUAAAUAUGCUAAACAGAAAAGAAAAAGACUAACCAACAAGCCUUCUUGGAGAGCUAGUUGCUUUGCAAAUUCAAUAGCUUCCUCACUCGAAAUCUGAUAACAAGCAAGGCAGCAGGUUAAGUUUGAAUCUCAAGACCCUAAAAACAUUCUAUCCUACUCUUUCACAGGUCUUUCCCAAAUUGGAACCACAAGACAGUAUGUUCUUGAGAGAACCAAACAAACAGAUCAUACCGCUAUGUAUUCAUCUACAACAGUCUGAUCCAAAUUCUUAGGAAUAAAUCCAGCUCCAAUCCCUUGAAUCUUGUGAGGUCCUGCAUUUCAAAACACAAGACAAAUCAACUUCAACUUCAGAGAAUAAUGUGGCAGGGAUCCAAGGAAACAAUUAUCAAUCCCUUACCAGGUUUUCCUCCAGAAAGUAUAGCACUUUCCGUGGGUUCAACACCAAUGACCUGGUACACAUAAACAUCAACUAGAUUAAACAAACCUAUCUCUAACUAUAAGAUUCAGUAAGCCCCUAGGCUAUCUACAUACCUUCAGUUCAGGUUUCCUUUCCUUAAUGUAUCGGCCAACACCAGUGAUGGUUCCACCAGUCCCAAUUCCCGCAACCAAUAUAUCCACCUUCCCUCUUGUAUCUUCCCAAAUCUCAGGACCAGUAGUCUCGUAAUGAAUCUGCAUAUCUUUAAUAUUAAAAACACUAACAGAUACCUUGCAGCUUAUGCAGAAGAGUUUCUUUAUUUUCUCUAACUAGCUCUUUAUAGUGGAGAACUAGAGAUAACACUAGCUCAUGAUUCAUGUCACAGUUAGAGAGUAAAAAAAAAGGAAAAAGAAGUAACCCACAGACCUUGGGAUUGGCUGGGUUGUCAAACUGUUGGAGCAUGUAGGAGUCAGGAGUGUUCUUCAAGAUUUCUUCAGCCUUCUGAAUAGCUCCAGUCAUACCCUUUGCAGGUUCAGUCAACACAAGCUCAGCUCCAAACGCCCUCAAAAGAACCCGUCUUUCCAAACUCAUGGACGCUGGCAUAGUCAAGAUAAGCUUAUACCCUUUUGAAGCAGCAAUAAACGCAAGUCCAAUCCCUGUGUUUCCACUUGUCGAUUCC